RNAcentral lists this long non-coding RNA (857 nucleotides) under Mus musculus (house mouse). Its description in RNAcentral is "RIKEN cDNA E130202H07 gene". Lineage: Eukaryota; Metazoa; Chordata; Mammalia; Rodentia; Muridae. The record is from RNAcentral.
UUCUCUUCCUGCCGCGCUCCCUCAGAACUGGCUGAAGAACACUAGCUACUUCUCCAGCUGCGUGCCGCCAUGUUCCCUGUCAUGGGGAUAAAGGGACUAAAUCCCUCUGAAACGGUUCAUCUAUGAAGCAGCUGGCUCCAGAACCUUCUGCCUGCCUAAGGCCGAAUAAUGCUCUGCUUCUGAUUCCUCAGGCGCCACAUCCAGAAGCAGGAGAAGAACCUUAGGAGCAGUGUCCACUCUGCUCACAGACCCUGUUCAUCAUGGCUCCAAUGACUCUCGAUUUCCAUCUCUGCUGUGUUUCUUAGCCAGCACGGGGCCUGCAACUACAUCUCCUAUCUGGAUGCUGUGUAAGAGCAGGAGGAAGAAUGGACCCUUGCAAGGACACAGCUACCGCCCAGGGGUGCCUGGCGAGACAGAUUCUGCAAAUGUUUGUCAGCUCAGAGCCAGGUCUAGAAUGUGGCCUCUCUGGAGCUCGCUUGUUGGCUCCCCCAGAUGCAUCAUGGAAGGAGUUCCGCAUGCUCUGAGACAGUUUCUUCCCAGGAGGGGAUCAGCUUACUGGAGCAGCGCUGUUUUCUGUGGACCCUUGUCUAGUUGUGGCGGUUGCUGGGAAAGAUGAAGUCCCCAGACUGGAGCUCAGGCUGCAAAGAGGCUGGCAUGGCACCUGGAUACCGAGCCACUCCUUGACAAAAGCCCUCUCCAGCCUGCGUGGACCUCGCGUGAGAGAAGUCUAGGUGGCUGUGGGCAGCCCACAGGCUUCCGUUGCCGCUGCGUUACAGCUUGUCGUCUUAAUCUUGAAAUGAGACCUGGUUCACUUGAUCUCAUUAAUAAAAGGUCUGUGCUCCCCCUAGUCAUAAAAA